RNAcentral lists this ribosomal RNA (639 nucleotides) under uncultured bacterium. RNAcentral's name for it is "bacterial SSU rRNA". It matches the Rfam family "Bacterial small subunit ribosomal RNA", at positions 202 to 842 of the family's 1533-position model. The record is from RNAcentral.
CAAAGGCUUCGGCCGGUAAAGGAUGGGGAUGCGUCUGAUUAGCUUGCCGGCGGGGUAACGGCCCACCGGGGCGACGAUCAGUAGGGGUUCUGAGAGGAAGGUCCCCCACAUUGGAACUGAGACACGGUCCAAACUCCUACGGGAGGCAGCAGUGAGGAAUAUUGGUCAAUGGGCGCGAGCCUGAACCAGCCAAGUAGCGUGCAGGACGACGGCCCUAUGGGUUGUAAACUGCUUUUAUACGGGGAUAAAGUAUGCCACGUGUGGUUUAUUGCAGGUACCGUAUGAAUAAGGACCGGCUAAUUCCGUGCCAGCAGCCGCGGUAAUACGGAAGGUCCGGGCGUUAUCCGGAUUUAUUGGGUUUAAAGGGAGCGUAGGCCGGGUUUUAAGCGUGCCGUGAAAUGUCGGGGCUCAACCUUGACACUGCGGCGCGAACUGGAGUCCUUGAGUGCGCGGAACGUAUGCGGAAUUCGUGGUGUAACGGUGAAAUGCUUAGAUAUCACGAAGAACCCCGAUUGCGAAGGCAGCAUACGGCAGCGCUACUGACGCUGAAGCUCGAAGGCGCGGGUAUCGAACAGGAUUAGAUACCCUGGUAGUCCGCGCGGUAAACGAUGGAUGCCCGCUGUUGGCGAUAUAUUGUCA